AACGCACGAGACCUGCGGACCUGCGGAAGGAUCAUUACUGAGUGAGGGCCCUCUGGGUCCAACCUCCCACCCGUGUCUCUUGUACCAUGUUGCUUCGGCGAGCCCGCCUCACGGCCGCCGGGGGGCAUCUGCCCCCGGGCCCGCGCCCGCCGAAGCCCCCUCUGAACGCUGUCUGAAGAUUGCAGUCUGAGCGAUAAGCAAAAAUUAUUUAAAACUUUCAGCAACGGAUCUCUAGAUCGG
Molecule: unclassified non-coding RNA, 240 nt
Filed under: soil metagenome
Description: partial contains 5.8S ribosomal RNA, internal transcribed spacer 2, and large subunit ribosomal RNA
Source: RNAcentral